Molecule: ribosomal RNA, 439 nt
Filed under: uncultured bacterium
Lineage: Bacteria
Description: partial 16S ribosomal RNA
Rfam family: Bacterial small subunit ribosomal RNA
Source: RNAcentral
CUACGGGGGGCUCCAGUGAGGAAUAUUGCACAAUGGGGGGAACCCUGAUGCAGCAACGCCGCGUGGAGGAUGACGCAUUUCGGUGUGUAAACUCCUUUUAUAUGUCAAGAAAAUGACGGUAGCAUAUGAAUAAGCACCGGCUAACUCCGUGCCAGCAGCCGCAGGAAUACGGAGGGUGCAAGCGUUACUCGGAAUCACUGGGCGUAAAGGACGCGUAGGCGGGGUGGAAAGUCAGGUGGGAAAUCCUACAGCUUAACUGGAGAACUGCACUUGAAACUUCUAAUAUAGAGUAUGGGAGGGGGAGAUGGAAUUAGUGGUGUAGGGGUAAAAUCCGUAGAUAUCACUAGGAAUACCUAAAGCGAAGGCGAUCUCCUGGAACAUUACUGACGCUAAGGCGUGAAAGCGUGGGGAGCAAACAGGAUUAGAUACCCCCGUAGUC